CGGGAUGUAGCUCAGCCUGGUAGAGCACUGUCUUCGGGAGGCAGGGGUCGUAGGUUCAAAUCCUGUCAUCCCGA
Molecule: transfer RNA, 74 nt
Filed under: Marinobacterium stanieri
Lineage: Bacteria; Pseudomonadati; Pseudomonadota; Gammaproteobacteria; Oceanospirillales; Oceanospirillaceae
Also listed under: 1 other name
Rfam family: tRNA
About the family: Transfer RNA (tRNA) molecules are approximately 80 nucleotides in length. Their secondary structure includes four short double-helical elements and three loops (D, anti-codon, and T loops).
Source: Rfam by way of RNAcentral